UACGUAGGGGGCGAGCGUUAUCCGGAAUUACUGGGCGUAAAGCGCACGCAGGCGGUCUGCUAAGUUUGGAGUGACAGUUGGUGGCUUAACUGCCAAAGUGCUUCGAAAACUGACAGACUUGAGGGCUUCAGAGGGACACGGAAUUCCGGGUGGAGUGGUGAAAUGCGUAGAGAUCCGGAGGAACACCAAAGGCGAAGGCAGUGUCCUGGGGAGUACCUGACGCUCAGGUGCGAAAGCCAGGGGAGCGAACGGG
This 253-nucleotide ribosomal RNA is filed under the name uncultured bacterium. Its description in RNAcentral is "partial 16S ribosomal RNA". It matches the Rfam family "Bacterial small subunit ribosomal RNA", at positions 524 to 776 of the family's 1533-position model. The record is from RNAcentral.